This 67-nucleotide microRNA precursor is filed under the name Bombyx mori (domestic silkworm). RNAcentral's name for it is "mir-2774 microRNA precursor family". It matches the Rfam family "mir-2774 microRNA precursor family". Lineage: Eukaryota; Metazoa; Arthropoda; Insecta; Lepidoptera; Bombycidae. The record is from Rfam by way of RNAcentral.
ACAACAUUUGGACCAUUGGUUUAGCGAGCAAAAUUAUCCGCUCGGUGAAAGAUUUUCCCUUCCUCGU